This 253-nucleotide ribosomal RNA is filed under the name uncultured bacterium. RNAcentral's name for it is "partial 16S ribosomal RNA". It matches the Rfam family "Bacterial small subunit ribosomal RNA", at positions 524 to 776 of the family's 1533-position model. The record is from RNAcentral.
UACGUAGGGGGCAAGCGUUGUCCGGAAUCAUUGGGCGUAAAGAGCGCGUAGGCGGCCCUGUAAGUCCGCUGUGAAAGUCAAGGGCUCAACCCUUGGAUGCCGGUGGAUACUGCAGGGCUAGAGUCCGGAAGAGGCGAGUGGAAUUCCUGGUGUAGCGGUGAAAUGCGCAGAUAUCAGGAGGAACACCGAUGGCGAAGGCAGCUCGCUGGGACGGUACUGACGCUGAGGCGCGAAAGCUAGGGGAGCGAACGGG